RNAcentral lists this ribosomal RNA (253 nucleotides) under uncultured bacterium. RNAcentral's name for it is "partial 16S ribosomal RNA". It matches the Rfam family "Bacterial small subunit ribosomal RNA", at positions 524 to 776 of the family's 1533-position model. The record is from RNAcentral.
UACGAAGGGGGCUAGCGUUGCUCGGAAUGACUGGGCGUAAAGGGCGCGUAGGCGGUUCAUACAGUCAGAUGUGAAAUUCCUGGGCUCAACCUGGGGGCUGCAUUUGAUACGUGUGGACUAGAGUGGGGAAGAGGGUCGUGGAAUUCCCAGUGUAGAGGUGAAAUUCGUAGAUAUUGGGAGGAACAUCGGCGGCGAAGGCGGCCAUCUGGGAGGGUACUGACGCUGAGACGCGAAAGCGUGGGGAGCAAACAGG